RNAcentral lists this long non-coding RNA (507 nucleotides) under Ursus maritimus (polar bear). RNAcentral describes it as "lncRNA (ENSUMAG00000001233.1)". The record is from RNAcentral. Lineage: Eukaryota; Metazoa; Chordata; Mammalia; Carnivora; Ursidae.
GCCGCACUGCUUGUGGGAGUGGAAAUUGGGGGCCAGAGCUCACUGGUGACGUGGUCGUCACGUGACCAAGAGCUGCCUAGAGCAGAAGUCCUGCUAGUCGCCUCCGUCUGGGUACCAGCCCCCUAUUACUCUGCAGGCGUGCGAAGGAAGAAGGAAACUAGCCCCGGACCGCGAGUUCUCCAAAGCCAGCUAUCUGUGUUUCCGACCUUCUGCCAGACUGUCCAUCAAUCUCCCUGGAAGGAGCACUGACAACAGAAGACGAGGGAAGAAGAAGAAAUUUACCUGAUUUUGGUAAAUUGGUUUGGUGGGAGAAACCUGCCUGUGAAGCUUUGGGGGAGGGGUUGGUGGUGGAGGAAGCAUGUUUGCUUUUCCUUGUCACCCUCCUGGCUAUCAUAGCACAGCCCCAUCCCCUGCCCUUUUCUGUAGGGCCUGUUAGAGAAAUGGUGGGUCCUGAGGAUAGAUAGAGGAUGACAAAAAGGAACAAAUAAAUAGUUUCCUAAUAAUCCA